RNAcentral lists this long non-coding RNA (1263 nucleotides) under Junco hyemalis (dark-eyed junco). RNAcentral's name for it is "lncRNA (ENSJHYG00000015765.1)". The record is from RNAcentral. Lineage: Eukaryota; Metazoa; Chordata; Aves; Passeriformes; Passerellidae.
UACAAAUACAAAAUACAAAAUAUAUCUGUAUAUUAUACACAAAUAUAAAAUGAGAAAUAAAAGUAGAAAUCUCCAAAUAAAGUGCAUAGAAAUGGGUAUAAGCAAAUAAAUAUAUAGAAAUAAAUGUAAGAAAAAAAUAGAUAAAAAUAUAUAGAAGUAGAAGCAAGAAUUUAAAUGGGAAAUGAAAAUAGAAAUAAAAUACAGAAAUAAAUAUAGAAAUAAAAAUGGGGAUAAAAUAAAUAGGGAUAUUAAAAAAAAUACAGAAAUAAAUAGGGAUAAAAAUGGGAAUAAUAAUGGAAAUAAAAAAUAGAAAUUAAGAGUGAGAUAAAUAAAUGAGAAAUAUAAGCAGAGAAAAAUAGGAAUUGAAGAAAUGUAAAAAAGAGGAAUAAAAAAUAGAAAUGAAAAUAGAAAUAAAAAUAAAUUAAAAAUAAAUAAAAAAUAGCAAUCGAGGGAGGGGAGGGCCCUGCAUGGAGACAAACCCCAAAUAAAUCCCCAAAAGUGCCCAAAAUGCCCCAAAACCGCGGGGACGAACCCCAAAAUGAGAAUUUUACACCCAAAAAUCCAAAUUAAAUAAAGCCAGGAAAGCGCAGGGCAGGAGGAGCUUUGGGGCUGCAAGGGUUAAUUGUUAAUGAGCUGCCGCUGACUAUUAAUUAAUUCAUUCAUUAAUUAUUUAACCCCGUGCAGGCCGCGGGGUGGGAGCGGGGCUGGGGGAAAAUCCUGAAAAAUCCUUAAAAAACCCCAAAAAUUCCUCAAAAAUCCUGGAAAAAAGGGAAAAGGGCCCCGGGGCUGUCCCCAAUUAACAGCAGCGCAUUCAUUAAUUACCAGCAGCGCAUUAAUUAAUUACCAGCAGCUCAUUAACGACCGCCCUGCCCGCGCCGCCCCUCCGCGCAUGCGCGGCCCCCUCACGCAUUUAUUUCAUUAUUUCCGACCCAAACUGCGUUUUUAAAACAUUUCCCCUCAUUUUAUUCUCAUUUUCUCCUCAUUUUUUCACCAUUUCCCCGCAAAUCAACCCCAAUUUUAAAUUUUAACUCCCGUUUUCCAAACCCAUACCAAAGCGAGGCAUCGAGAGGGAGGAAAAAUCCGAUUUUUUUUCGUUGUUUUCGAGCAAAAAUCGCCGGUUUUUUUUGUAUUUUUAAAGAUUUUUUUUGGUGUUUUGACUUUUUUAUUUAUUUUUUCUUUUUUUUUUUUAAUUUUUUAUUUUCAUUUUUUUUAUUCAUCAUCAUCAUCAUCAUCAUGAAGAAUUCAUUAUUUCCGAGAAAAUAA